GACGAACGCUGGCGGCGUGCUUAACACAUGCAAGUCGAGCGAUGAAGCUUCUUCGGAAGUGGAUUAGCGGCGGACGGGUGAGUAACACGUGGGUAACCUGCCUCAUAGAGGGGAAUAGCCUUUCGAAAGGAAGAUUAAUACCGCAUAAGAUUGUAGUACCGCAUGGUGCAGCAAUUAAAGGAGUAAUCCGCUAUGAGAUGGGCCCGCGUCGCAUUAGCUAGUUGGUGAGGUAACGGCUCACCAAGGCGACGAUGCGUAGCCGACCUGAGAGGGUGAUCGGCCACAUUGGGACUGAGACACGGCCCAGACUCCUACGGGAGGCAGCAGUGGGGAAUAUUGCACAAUGGGGGAAACCCUGAUGCAGCAACGCCGCGUGAGUGAUGACGGUCUUCGGAUUGUAAAGCUCUGUCUUCAGGGACGAUAAUGACGGUACCUGAGGAGGAAGCCACGGCUAACUACGUGCCAGCAGCCGCAGUAA
RNAcentral lists this ribosomal RNA (478 nucleotides) under uncultured bacterium. RNAcentral describes it as "partial 16S ribosomal RNA". It matches the Rfam family "Bacterial small subunit ribosomal RNA", at positions 28 to 523 of the family's 1533-position model. The record is from RNAcentral.